Molecule: non-coding RNA, 262 nt
Organism: Pelobates cultripes (western spadefoot toad)
Lineage: Eukaryota; Metazoa; Chordata; Amphibia; Anura; Pelobatidae
Source: the annotation of a GenBank genome assembly
UUUAUACCGUCUUUCCUUCCCCCUAUUCACACCACCACCCUUACUGCUGAUCUGCCUAGUAACCGCAGUAAAAGUCCAAACUAAUCACCCUCUCUAUACAUUAAGACAAAGUGUAACUAUCUGAUUGCAUAAAGCAUAAAAGCACGCCCUGUUAAAGAACACAAUAUAACCUGUGAUGUGGAAUAAAAUGUUCAAGAUGUCACUUUGAAUAACUUCUGUCUGUGUGUGUCAUGGUGGCCUCACCAGUCCUGCUAAGAGAUUG